GUCGCCAUCUUACUGGGCAGCAUUGGAUGGUGUCUGGUCUCUAAUACUGCCUGGUAAUGAUGACGGC
Molecule: microRNA precursor, 67 nt
Filed under: Tupaia belangeri chinensis (Chinese tree shrew)
Lineage: Eukaryota; Metazoa; Chordata; Mammalia; Scandentia; Tupaiidae
Description: Tupaia chinensis (Chinese tree shrew) mir-8/mir-141/mir-200 microRNA precursor family
Rfam family: mir-8/mir-141/mir-200 microRNA precursor family
About the family: The bounds of the precursors are predicted based on conservation and base pairing and are not generally known.
Source: Rfam by way of RNAcentral